AAGGGCCUCUGCCACACAUUUUUUUUUUUCCUUUGGUUCCAAGGCCUCAAGCCAGGUCUCGGUGACAGGGAGGGCAGGCCUGGGGUCACAUGUCAGAGGUCAGGGGCCCCCUGAUUGUUCCCAAAUGUGCUUCCGAGUAACCAUAGAUUUGAACUUUGCAUUGUUGUGGGGGCCCUGGGGAGAGAGAGGCCCUGGGGGAGGAGAGAGACCCUGGGGGAGGCCAUCUCGGCAGUUCAAAGGCGGCCUGCUCCGGUUUCACUUGGCCCACUGUUUCCAUCCCUGAGUCCUCCCGAACCCAAUCCCGGUGGGGCUGCCGUGGGUGGGGGUGGGGUGGCACUCGGGACGGACAUUCCGCGUAACCCAAAGCCGCACAUCUCACAGACUGAUGGUGCCUUCAGAGCCGGAAACACUCAGGAUUAGCGUCAGAGGCUGAAAAUUCCCCUGACUGCUUCCUCAAGUCCCAGAACGCUUGCCCCAAAGCCGGUAAAGGUUGCUCCUCCGCCCAGAACCAACCCCUCGGUCCCCACUUCCCGGCCCAGGCAGGGUUCUUUGUAAAGUGUAGCUAAACGCAGGGCACUGAGGUUCAGAAAAUGAACCCCAAUGCUGGCUUUACCCAAGGGUAGUGGGUGUUUGCUAGAUCACACAAGCUGAAAGGAGGUAAAAGAUCCCAGACCAUCCCCCCCAAAACAAGUGUCUCCACUGAUACCUGAAAAUCUACCAUAACCAGGACGUAAAUUUAUAUCUGUUGAUAUGGAAGAGUGUAUAAGAGAUAUUGUUAAGUGCCGAACACAAGCUACAGCUACUGUAUGGCCCCAACUAUGUAGGAGAUACACACGGGAGCAAAGUCAAAGAUGACACGUCAAAAUGUUGGUAGUCGUACCCCUGACGGGUGGGACUUCGAGUGAUUUUUUUUUUUUUCCUUCUAUUUUUCUGCAUUUUAGAAUUACACCACCCGUGUAUAGACGAGGAAACCGAAUGUUCAUGAAUCAUUUCUUUAGUUCAGUGUUUUUUCAAAUUGUGGUUAGAAGGAACCAGCGUCAGACUCGGGAAGCUCGCUGAACAGGAAGGUCCCUACGUGUCAGUCGGACCUACUGAGCCCGAGUCUGGAGAGGCGGCCUGACCGACAGCAUUGGAAGCACCCUCCUCCAGGCCAUUGUCAGGGAAUGGUCCACCCAGGCGGAUGUUUGCUUUGCCCAAAGGGUUCUGGCUCCGGCUGGUGAAGCAUUCCAGGGCUGACGGCACAAGCUGAUUUGCAUAAGUGCCAAAGUCAAGUCAAACUGAAGCUGUAAACCAAACGAAGUAAUUAUGCCAGCGGGCCGCGUGGAGCACGGAAGCAUCUCGGGAUGCGCAGAAUCCCAUUCAUGGCAGCGCGGAGGAAUCGUGUGCUGUGGAGAACAAACAUCUCUGAUAAAGCCCUACAAGUGACACUGCUGAGUCAAAACACAAGGAUAUUCACCAUUUUGCUACAUAUUUGUGAUUUUGCUGCGCAUGAUUUUACUGAAGACUUCAUCCUAAAUAUUUGUACGAAGAAGGAAGCAGUGUCUGAAAGCCGAGAUGCCAGCAGCAUGAAUAAGGAGUGUAUAAAGGACGUGAAAUUAAAGUCUGUAUUUCUAAACAGGGCUCCCUUUUCCGUGGCGUUCUUUCUGCAAGGGGUUGCCUUGGCUGCUUCCAAGCGUUGUACUUGAUCAUUCUUUAAUUUAGAGAAUAAAAAAUUCAUGAGUU
Long non-coding RNA from Herpailurus yagouaroundi (jaguarundi), 1722 nucleotides. RefSeq lists it as uncharacterized. The record is from RefSeq and is a predicted model, not a curated record. The transcript is spliced from 5 exons. NCBI's taxonomy places the organism in Eukaryota, Metazoa, Chordata, Mammalia, Carnivora, Felidae.